RNAcentral lists this ribosomal RNA (226 nucleotides) under uncultured bacterium. Its description in RNAcentral is "partial 16S ribosomal RNA". It matches the Rfam family "Bacterial small subunit ribosomal RNA", at positions 124 to 334 of the family's 1533-position model. The record is from RNAcentral.
CCUAGCCCUUCAGAGGGGGACAACAGUUGGAAACGACUGCUAAUACCGCAUACGAUCCAAUCUCGGCAUCGAGACUGGAUGAAAGGUGGCCUCUAUUUAUAAGCUAUCACUGAAGGAGGGGAUUGCGUCUGAUUAGCUAGUUGGAGGGGUAACGGCCCACCAAGGCGAUGACCAGUAGCCGGUCUGAGAGGAUGAACGGCCACAUUGGGACUGAGACACGGCCCAG